Aphanomyces astaci is the source of this 68-nucleotide non-coding RNA. NCBI's taxonomy places the organism in Eukaryota, Oomycota, Saprolegniomycetes, Saprolegniales, Verrucalvaceae. The record is from Rfam.
AACGAUGUGGCUCAUGGAGAGUACUGACUUUGUUGUCAGUGGAACUGGUUCAAUUCCAGUCAUCGUUU